AAAACUGUUUACAAGAAAGCACACUUAUGCGUACAUGCACGUGAGUAAUAUAUUUGCUAUCUUUAACAGUAAGUUUAUCAUAUAUGGAUGUCCAUGUAAAAAAUAUUUUGUAGAUUUAUACAUGCUUUAAACUCAAUGUUGUGGUUUUGGCUAAGCACAUCUAACUAAAUUUGUCUAUGAACAGGAGUUGAGGCUUUGUUCCUUGACCUUUUUAUACCUUUUAAU
Molecule: long non-coding RNA, 225 nt
Filed under: Solanum tuberosum (potato)
Lineage: Eukaryota; Viridiplantae; Streptophyta; Magnoliopsida; Solanales; Solanaceae
Description: long non-coding RNA (STUB_LNC004566)
Source: RNAcentral